ACCCAAGUAUGGGCUAUGAAGGGGCUCAAAUCCAACUAUAAUCUAUCAAAAUUUUUCACAAGGAAAAGGAGGAAAGAAUUUGAAAAAUUUAGGAGUCUUUUAACUGUUACUCUUCUUGCAUCGAAUAAAGCAUGGACUAUGAAGGGAUUCUAAUGCAACUACAGUCCAUCAAGUCUCUUGGCAAGAGGGAUGAAGGAAGAAGAACUCUAAAAAUUAAAAGCACAA
This 225-nucleotide long non-coding RNA is filed under the name Elaeis guineensis (African oil palm). Its description in RNAcentral is "long non-coding RNA (EGUI_LNC034722)". The record is from RNAcentral. Lineage: Eukaryota; Viridiplantae; Streptophyta; Magnoliopsida; Arecales; Arecaceae.